RNAcentral lists this long non-coding RNA (709 nucleotides) under Pogona vitticeps (central bearded dragon). Its description in RNAcentral is "lncRNA (ENSPVIG00000013623.1)". Lineage: Eukaryota; Metazoa; Chordata; Lepidosauria; Squamata; Agamidae. The record is from RNAcentral.
AGGAUUUGGGCCAAAAUCUGUCUUUGCAAGUCAAGGUACUUACAUUAACAAGGUCGAAUGGUUUAUUUUUGUACCUGAGAUGGAAGCUCCCACCAAACAAUUUUGCCCCUCUAUGUAAAAGAAAAGAAAAGAUGGCCAUAUGAUGAAUGGGUCCUUUUUAUUGAGAAAGGUGUUAUCAAAAUAUUCUAAAUAAAAUAAAAUAAAUAAAUAUGUCAUAAGUUAGUUACCUGAGCGGGAAUUAACUUACUCUUGUGAACCCUAGGCCAACCCCCAUUCAUCACUUUUUGUACUGUUUUCCAAGUUUCCCCCGAACAAACAAUAUACACAGAUAUCAUACCAAGCAAUGACAGAGACAAUCAAAUUAGGUUGCCCUGUCUCACAGAGGAGUUAUGAGCAUAAAAUGCAGAGUUGGAAAACCUAGUGUAACACUUUAACCUCUGCAACAGAAUGGCCACUGAAACAAGUGUCAAGAUGUCAUUCGGAACAACAGAAACCAUGAGACGAUCAUACUUUGAACUAGAGAUGGACACAAACCUCAGUUCGGAGUCAUGCUGGUUUGUACGUGUGGCUUGUGGUGCCGCAUGUUCCCUUCUACCACCUCUGAAUAGCUGAAGCGGAGGAGAAGAGGAGUGCACUCUGACUGGUGAGAAGGACAUUGGCCUGGGAGGCAGGGAAAGUGGCAGGAACCCCCGAACUAAGGUUCAUGCCC